AUCGACCCCGCGGUUUGAGACCUCGAUGUCGGCUCUUCUCACCCUGGCCGUGCAGCAGCGGCCAAGGGUGGGGGUGUUCACCCAUUAAAGAGGAACGUGAGCUGGGUUUAG
Molecule: ribosomal RNA, 111 nt
Filed under: Nanoarchaeum equitans Kin4-M
Lineage: Archaea; Nanobdellati; Nanobdellota; Candidatus Nanoarchaeia; Nanoarchaeales; Nanoarchaeaceae
Description: large subunit ribosomal RNA
Rfam family: Archaeal large subunit ribosomal RNA
Source: RNAcentral